This 498-nucleotide ribosomal RNA is filed under the name uncultured bacterium. Its description in RNAcentral is "partial 16S ribosomal RNA". It matches the Rfam family "Bacterial small subunit ribosomal RNA", at positions 29 to 523 of the family's 1533-position model. The record is from RNAcentral.
AUUGAACGCUGGCGGCAUGCCUUACACAUGCAAGUCGAACGGUAACGCGGGGCAACCUGGCGACGAGUGGCGAACGGGUGAGUAAAGUAUCGGAACGUGCCCAGUAGUGUGGGAUAGCCCGGCGAAAGCCGGAUUAAUACCGCAUGAGACCUGAGGGUGAAAGCGGGGGAUCGCAAGACCUCGCGCUAUUGGAGCGGCCGAUAUCAGAUUAGGUAGUUGGUGGGGUAAAGGCCUACCAAGCCGACGAUCUGUAGCUGGUCUGAGAGGACGACCAGCCACACUGAGACUAAGACACGGCACAGACUGCCACGGGAGGCAGCAGUGGGGAAUUUUGGACAAUGUGAGAAAUCCUUAGCCAGCCAUGCCGCGUGCGGGAAGAAGGCCUUCGGGUUGUAAACCGCUUUUGUCGGGGAAGAAAUCUUCUGGGUUAAUACCCUGGGAGGAUGACGGUACCCGAAGAAUAAGCACCGGCUAACUACGUGCCAGCCGCCGCAGUAA